AUCGAAAGUUAAUUCCAUGGACGAUUCAAGGAUACAUCACACUUGAAUAAAAAAUAGAGUUAUUUUUUUAUUGAUUAAAUCAAUAUAUUAAGUAUAAAAUUAUGUCCUAGAUUUAUUACAAUGUAUCAGCCAUAUUGGCUUCUAGGAUAUAUAUCUAACAUGAAUAGGGAUCAAAAUCUCCAAAAAAUUUUCAAAUCCAAUACCUCGAGAGAUCUGAAUGUGCAGGCCCUCUAUUUCGUACGCACGCUAAGCCCUGUAAGAAAGCGAGAUGAUGUUCUUUGCAUCAAUCCUUUUGAAGGCAGCAAGGAAGGGAGGAGAUCUAAUCUCCUCACAUUGGAUGCCUUGGAUGGAAGCUCUUA
Molecule: long non-coding RNA, 359 nt
Filed under: Elaeis guineensis (African oil palm)
Lineage: Eukaryota; Viridiplantae; Streptophyta; Magnoliopsida; Arecales; Arecaceae
Description: long non-coding RNA (EGUI_LNC068052)
Source: RNAcentral